UACGUAGGCAGCGAGCGUUGUUCGGAAUCACUGGGCGUAAAGGGUGCGUAGGCGGGUCUUUAAGUCAGGGGUGAAAUCCUGGAGCUCAACUCCAGAACUGCCUUUGAUACUGAGGAUCUUGAGUACGGGAGAGGUGAGUGGAACUGCGAGUGUAGAGGUGAAAUUCGUAGAUAUUCGCAAGAACACCAGUGGCGAAGGCGGCUCACUGGCCCGUAACUGACGCUGAGGCACGAAAGCGUGGGGAGCAAACAGG
This 253-nucleotide ribosomal RNA is filed under the name uncultured bacterium. RNAcentral describes it as "partial 16S ribosomal RNA". It matches the Rfam family "Bacterial small subunit ribosomal RNA", at positions 524 to 776 of the family's 1533-position model. The record is from RNAcentral.